GAUGAACGCUGGCGGCGUGCCUAAUACAUGCAAGUCGAGCGAACAGACGAGGAGCUUGCUCCUCUGACGUUAGCGGCGGACGGGUGAGUAACACGUGGAUAACCUACCUAUAAGACUGGGAUAACUUCGGGAAACCGGAGCUAAUACCGGAUAAUAUAUUGAACCGCAUGGUUCAAUAGUGAAAGACGGUUUUGCUGUCACUUAUAGAUGGAUCCGCGCCGCAUUAGCUAGUUGGUAAGGUAACGGCUUACCAAGGCAACGAUGCGUAGCCGACCUGAGAGGGUGGUCGGCCACACUGGAACUGAGACACGGUCCAGACUCCUACGGGAGGCAGCAGUAGGGAAUCUUCCGCAAUGGGCGAAAGCCUGACGGAGCAACGCCGCGUGAGUGAUGAAGGUCUUCGGAGCGUAAAGCUCUGUUAUUAGGGAAGAACAAAUGUAUAAGUAACUAUGCACGUCUUGACGGUACCUAAUCAGAAAGCCACGGCUAACUACGUG
Molecule: ribosomal RNA, 497 nt
Filed under: uncultured bacterium
Lineage: Bacteria
Description: partial 16S ribosomal RNA
Rfam family: Bacterial small subunit ribosomal RNA
Source: RNAcentral